Molecule: non-coding RNA, 709 nt
Organism: Pelobates cultripes (western spadefoot toad)
Lineage: Eukaryota; Metazoa; Chordata; Amphibia; Anura; Pelobatidae
Source: the annotation of a GenBank genome assembly
UGUUUAUUGUAUAAACCUCUUCCCUUCCAAUUCAGAUUUUAUUAGCCGUAAUGCUUGGGAGAAUAGAUUCAAACUUAGUUUCUUACCUUAAAAUCAUUUGGUACCCCCCUUGACACCCCUAUGGCAUUAAUAUACAUAUAUAUAUAUAUAUAUAUAUAUAUGUGUGGGUAAAACCACCCUUUAUAGGGGUACUCCUUUUUGUCCUGAAGCAUGAAUGAGGUGUGUCAAGAGUACCUUGGGGAUUGUCAUGUGUUAUGUGUAUGGACAUAAUAACCUAGGCUAGGGCACAUUUACUUAUUCUUAGAAAUCUUGUCUCAUGCUACCCUAGUACUGGCAGAUUCAGAUCAUUUAAACAUUCAAUAUUAAUAUCACCACAAACUCAAGAUAAGCAGAUGAUCCUGAAGAAGCUUUGACUGUGCGUAUGGCACCUCAGACGUGAGGGCUGCAGGGUAAGGAGUAUGUUUAUUUCUCUUUAGUUUCACGAGGUCCCCUUUUGGGGUAUUUGGCUUUCCAUCGAUGGCAGGUGGUCAGGCAUUAUUAUGGCCAUCAAAACACCCACUUGUUGAUAGUUAUUUAUUUAUUUUCAACAAGUAUCUUUGUUCUCUAAGAAUGGAGUUUCAAAAAGGGUUGUCAAGAUCAACAAAUGCUACUUCACAUGAUGCAGAGGCAGGCUUGAUUCUGGAAUGAUGAAUCCACGGGGUGAUCUCUG